GGGGCUGAAAAGGUUUCUACGUUUCGAUGCUAUAUUUAAGUGCUAUUUUACCGAUUUUCAUUUCUAAUUUUAUUUAGUAAUGUAUGUAACUUAUUUGCAAAACACAAUAUUGUAGCUUUUUCCAAAAACUUAGUAACUUUAUAAAUCGUAUAGCUUAGUUUAUUGGAAUAUUAAAUUGUCUUAUCUUAUUCAAUUUAUAUUAUAAAUAAAGUAUGCUCUGACUAUAAGUAAUAUUUUAAAUUUUAAUAAAUUAUUUAACUAAAUAGUUUGUUAAGUAGACUUUAAGUGAAAAAUUCAGUUUUUACUAAAUUAGUUAAUAGCAAUAAGCUUAAAUGUACUAUCGAAAUGGACGUGGGUUCAAAUCCCACCAGUUCCA
Molecule: non-coding RNA, 376 nt
Filed under: Polysiphonia stricta
Lineage: Eukaryota; Rhodophyta; Florideophyceae; Ceramiales; Rhodomelaceae
Source: RNAcentral